RNAcentral lists this ribosomal RNA (1242 nucleotides) under metagenome. RNAcentral's name for it is "bacterial LSU rRNA". It matches the Rfam family "Bacterial large subunit ribosomal RNA", at positions 1564 to 2816 of the family's 2925-position model. The record is from RNAcentral.
UGAAUACGAGAUGCUACGGCGUCGAAGCAGUCUAUGUCAUACUUCCAAGAAAAGCUUGCACUGUCAUAAACAAAUAAUGCCUGUACCAUAACCGACACAGGUGGGUAGGUAGAGUAUACUAAGGGGCGCGAGAUAACUCUCUCUAAGGAACUCGGCAAAAUGACUCCGUAACUUCGGGAGAAGGAGUGCCUUAUUUAUAAGGUUGCAAUAACAAGAUCCAAGCAACUGUUUACCAAAAACACAGGUCUCCGCUAAGUCGUAAGACGAUGUAUGGGGGCUGACGCCUGCCCAGUGCCAGAAGGUUAAAGAAGUUGGUUAGCAUCCGCGAAGCUGAUAACUGAAGCCCUGGUGAACGGCGGCCGUAACAAUAACGGUCCUAAGGUAGCGAAAUUCCUUGUCGGGUAAGUUCCGACCCGCACGAAAGGCGUAAUGAUUUGGAUACUGUCUCGGAGAGGGGCUCGGUGAAAUAGACUUGUCUGUGAAGAUGCGGACUACCUGCACCAGGACAGAAAGACCCUAUGAAGCUUUACUGUAACCUGAAAUUGAAAUUGGACUUUACUUGCGCAGUAUAGGUGGGAGGCGUUGAGAAUAUUCUUGCGGGAUUAUUGGAGCCAUCAGUGAGAUACCACUCUUGUAAUGUUAGAUUUCUAACUUUGUAUCAUUAUCUGGUCAAAGAACAGUUUCAGGCGGGCAGUUUGACUGGGGCGGUCGCCUCCUAAACGGUAACGGAGGCGCACAAAGGUUUCCUCUGAACGGGUAGAAAUCGUAUCUAGAGUGUAAAGGCAUAAGGAAGCUUGACUGUGAGACCUACAAGUCGAGCAGGGACGAAAGUCGGUCUUAGUGAUCUGACGGUGCUGAGUGGAAAGGCCGUCACUCAACGGAUAAAAGUUACUCUAGGAUAACAGGCUGAUCUCCCCCAAGAGUUCACAUCGACGGGGAGGUUUGGCACCUCGAUGUCGGCUCAUCGCAUCCUGGGGCGGUAGUACGUCCCAAGGGUUGGGCUGUUCGCCCAUGAAAGCGGUACGCGAGCUGGGUUCAGAACGUCGUGAGACAGUUCGGUCCAUAUCCGGUGUAGGUGUUAGAAUAUUGAGAGGAGCCUUCUUUAGUACGAGAGGACCGAGAAGGACAUACCUCUGGUGUACCAGUUAUCGUGCCAACGGUAAACGCUGGGUAGCUAUGUGUGGAGUGGAUAACCGCUGAAAGCAUCUAAGUGGGAAGCCCACCUCAAGAUAAGUAUUCUCA